CAAAUAGAUAGGUGAUCUUCAAGCAUUUCAAAGAUGUACAGAAUAUGGCAUUUAUAAUGUUUUACUAACUUAGAAUUCUUUUAACAUGAGACACAUCUGUUUCUGGCAACACUGAUCUACUCUAGAGAGAAUGAUAGGCAUCAAAGACAUUCUAUAUGGAGUUUGUUUUCCUUUUGGCAAAACUUCCUACUGGGCAAGAAACUGCCCUUGCCUCGACUGCUGACAGUAAGCACAAUGUCCAAUCUGGACAAGCAGAACACAAGGAAAAGCGACUUUGGCCAAACUUUGACAAGACAAGAAGUCUUCACAUUCUGCAAAAUCACUCUCUGAAAAAAAACACAGGAUUCAUGAAGGGAAGCAGAGCUGGGACACUUUUCUCAACACCUUUGUAACCUUGUUACCAGAAUCUCCCCCAACAGCCAAGCCUAUAAUGAGGACCCAGAACAGCAAAUCAAAAAUUAUCCCAGCUGCUAUUCAGAGAUGGAGCAACUAUGGCCCUUGAUGCUUAGGGACAACAUCUCUGUAGCUCCUUUGGUGCCUUCUGGACUUCUGCUUUAAUGGCAUGGAAGCCGCUAAGACAGCCAGAACUUGCACACAAAUUUGGUGCAUCCGUAACAUUUCCAGCUUUCUCUUACUACUUCCUCAUCUGUUCCUCUUUACUCAUAAGGAAGUUUAUCCCAACCUAUCAAAACCACCAACGAGCCUGCAUGACUUUCCCAGGACCA
Molecule: long non-coding RNA, 725 nt
Organism: Peromyscus maniculatus bairdii (prairie deer mouse)
Lineage: Eukaryota; Metazoa; Chordata; Mammalia; Rodentia; Cricetidae
Source: RefSeq, a predicted model, not a curated record